NNNNNNNNNNNNNNNNNNNNNNNNNNNNNNNNNNNNNNCACACACACACACACACACACACACACAGUGAAACCAAACUACUGAUUUAAGGAAGAUAAAACAUCAAGUCUCUCUUUCUCUGUCUGUUUGUCUCUGUAAAUGGUUCUCACUAAUUUUCUUCUGCCUCUUUCUUAAUUUCUGUUGCUGUCUGCCGGUAUUUGCCAUUCCUGUCUGUCUCACUCUCUUUCUCCUUUUCUUUUUUCCCCCUUGUCUGUCUCAAUUUCUCCCUCUCUCUUUUCCUACUUUUUUGGUGUCUCUUCCCCUCUGCCUGUCUCACUUUCUUUCAUCCUCUCUAUUUUCCUUUUGUGUUUGUCUCCGUUUCGUUUCUGUCUGUCUCAUUCUAGUUUUCUUUGCCUAUUUUCUUCACUGUUAGUAUCAAUUUUCUUUUCCAGCAGUCUCACUCUCAUUUUCCCCUCUCGGCCUGUCUCACUCUCUUUUGCCCUCUCUAUUGUUCUUUCCUGUCUGUCUCUCUUUCGUUUCCUCCCUGUCAGUCUCAAUUUCUUUCUCCCUCUAUUUUUCUACCGUCUCACUCUCAUUUCCCCUCCCUGUCUGUCUUUCUUUCACCCUCUCAAUUUACUUUCCUUUCUGUCUCAUGCUUGUUUCCUCCCUGUCUGUCUCAUUCUUGUUUUCCUUCGCUUUCCCCGUUAUUCCUUUUCAGCUGUCUCACCCUCAUUUUUCCUUUCUGCCUGUCUUACUCUCUUUUGCUCUCUCUAUUGUCCUUUCCUGUCUGUCUUGCUUUCGUUUCCUCCCUGUCAGUGUCAAUGUCUUUUUCCCACUCUUUUCCUACCCCUACUGUCUCACUCUUAUUUCGCCUACCUGUCUGUCUUACUUUCGUUCGCCCUCUUAAUUUUCCUUUCCUUUCUGUCUCAUGCUUGUGUCCUCCCCGACUGUUUUCCUUCCUUACUAUUCUUCUCCAACUGUCUCACUCUCUAUUUUCUUUCCUGUCUGUCUCACUUUCAUUUCCUCCAUUUAUUUCAUUCUUGUUUACCUUCCUCCCUAUCAGUCUCAAUUUUGUUCUUCUUCUCUGUCUCUCACUCUCAUCUUUCUCUAUCUGUCUCACUCUCACUUUUUUCACCCUCACUAUUUUCCUUUCUGUCUGUCUCACUCUCACUUUCCCUCCUUGUCUGUCUCACUUUUUUUU
This 1180-nucleotide long non-coding RNA is filed under the name Sinocyclocheilus grahami. RNAcentral describes it as "lncRNA (ENSSGRG00000006087.1)". Lineage: Eukaryota; Metazoa; Chordata; Actinopteri; Cypriniformes; Cyprinidae. The record is from RNAcentral.